RNAcentral lists this ribosomal RNA (389 nucleotides) under uncultured bacterium. RNAcentral's name for it is "bacterial SSU rRNA". It matches the Rfam family "Bacterial small subunit ribosomal RNA", at positions 28 to 419 of the family's 1533-position model. The record is from RNAcentral.
AUUGAACGCUGGCGGCAUGCCUUACACAUGCAAGUCGAGCGGUAAGGCCCUUUCGGGGGUACACGAGCGGCGAACGGGUGAGUAACACGUGGGUGACCUGCCCUCAGCUCUGGGAUAAGCCUGGGAAACCGGGUCUAAUACCGGAUAUGACUCCAUGACGCAUGUUGUGGGGUGGAAAGCCUUGUGCGGCUGAGGAUGGGCCCGCGGCCUAUCAGCUUGUUGGUGGGGGAUGGCCUACCAAGGCGACGACGGGUAGCCGGCCUGAGAGGGCGACCGGCCACACUGGGACUGAGACACGGCCCAGACUCCUACGGGAGGCAGCAGUGGGGAAUCUUGCGCAAUGGGCGAAAGCCUGACGCAGCGACGCCGCGUGAGGGAUGACGGCCUGG